RNAcentral lists this ribosomal RNA (459 nucleotides) under uncultured bacterium. RNAcentral describes it as "partial 16S ribosomal RNA". It matches the Rfam family "Bacterial small subunit ribosomal RNA", at positions 338 to 795 of the family's 1533-position model. The record is from RNAcentral.
CCUACGGGAGGCUGCAGUGAGGAAUAUUGGUCAAUGGGAGAGAUCCUGAACCAGCCAAGCCGCGUGAGGGAAGACGGCCCUAUGGGUUGUAAACCUCUUUUGUCGGAGAACAAAACCCGGGACGUGUCCCGGACUGCGUGUAUCCGAAGAAAAAGCAUCGGCUAACUCCGUGCCAGCAGCCGCGGUAAUACGGAGGAUGCGAGCGUUAUCCGGAUUUAUUGGGUUUAAAGGGUGCGUAGGCGGUCCGUUAAGUCCGCGGGAAAAUUGCGGGGCUCAACCCCGGCGAGCCGUUGAAACUGGCAGACUUGAGUUGGCGAGAAGUACGCGGAAUGCGCGGUGUAGCGGUGAAAUGCAUAGAUAUCGCGCAGAACUCCGAUUGCGAAGGCAGCGUACCGGCGCCAGACUGACGCUGAGGCACGAAAGCGUGGGGAUCGAACAGGAUUAGAUACCCCUGUAGUC